GAUGAACGCUGGCGGCGUGCCUAAUACAUGCAAGUCGAGCGAAGCGGGGACGGGUGAGUAACACGUGGAUAACCUCCUAUAAGACUGGGAUAACUUCGGGAAACCGGAGCUAAACCGGAUGCUUAUAGAUGGAUCCGCGCUGCAUUAGCUAGUUGGUAAGGUAACGGCUUACAAAGGAAAAGAUGCAUAGCCGACCUUAGGGGGUGAGCGGCCACACUGGAACUGAGACACGGUACAGACUCGUAAGGGAUGCAGGAGUAGGGAGUUUUCCGCAAUGGGCGAAAGCCUGACGGAGCAACGCCUCGUGAGUGAUGAAGGUCUUCGGAUCGUAAAACUCUGUUAUUAGGGAAGCGGUACUGACUCAGAAGGCCACGGCUAACUGCGUGCCAGCCGCCGCGGUAAUAC
RNAcentral lists this ribosomal RNA (405 nucleotides) under uncultured bacterium. Its description in RNAcentral is "partial 16S ribosomal RNA". It matches the Rfam family "Bacterial small subunit ribosomal RNA", at positions 28 to 526 of the family's 1533-position model. The record is from RNAcentral.